CCUGCAGUCGAAGAUGAACCUGGAGCUUGCUCUAGGGAAUUAGUGGCGAACGGGUGAGUAACACGUGAGUAACCUGCCCUUGACUCUGGGAUAACCUCCGGAAACGGAAGCUAAUACCGGAUACGACGUACGGAGGCAUCUCCUGUACGUGGAAAGAACUUCGGUCAAGGAUGGACUCGCGGCCUAUCAGGUAGUUGGUGAGGUAACGGCUCACCAAGCCUACGACGGGUAGCCGGCCUGAGAGGGUGACCGGCCACACUGGGACUGAGACACGGCCCAGACUCCUACGGGAGGCAGCAGUGGGGAAUAUUGCACAAUGGGCGCAAGCCUGAUGCAGCAACGCCGCGUGAGGGAUGACGGCCUUCGGGUUGUAAACCUCUUUUAGUAGGGAAGAAGCGAAAGUGACGGUACCUGCAGAAAAAGCACCGGCUAACUACGUGCCAGCAGCCGCGGUAAUACGUAGGGUGCGAGCGUUGUCCGGAAUUAUUGGGCGUAAAGAGCUCGUAGGCGGUCUGUCGCGUCUGCUGUGAAAACCCGAGGCUCAACCUCGGGCCUGCAGUGGGUACGGGCAGACUAGAGUGCGGUAGGGGAGAAUGGAAUUCCUGGUGUAGCGGUGGAAUGCGCAGAUAUCAGGAGGAACACCGAUGGCGAAGGCAGUUCUCUGGGCCGUAACUGACGCUGAGGAGCGAAAGCGUGGGGAGCGAACAGGAUUAGAUACCCUGGUAGUCCACGCCGUAAACGUUGGGCGCUAGAUGUGGGGACCAUUCCACGGUUUCCGUGUCGCAGCUAACGCAUUAAGCGCC
This 803-nucleotide ribosomal RNA is filed under the name Leifsonia sp. RODXS12. RNAcentral describes it as "bacterial SSU rRNA". It matches the Rfam family "Bacterial small subunit ribosomal RNA", at positions 54 to 868 of the family's 1533-position model. The record is from RNAcentral. Lineage: Bacteria; Bacillati; Actinomycetota; Actinomycetes; Micrococcales; Microbacteriaceae.